RNAcentral lists this ribosomal RNA (468 nucleotides) under uncultured bacterium. Its description in RNAcentral is "partial 16S ribosomal RNA". It matches the Rfam family "Bacterial small subunit ribosomal RNA", at positions 28 to 507 of the family's 1533-position model. The record is from RNAcentral.
GACGAACGCUGGCGGCGUGCUUAACACAUGCAAGUCGAACGGAAAGGCCCUGCUUUUGUGGGGUGCUCGAGUGGCGAACGGGUGAGUAACACGUGAGUAACCUGCCCUUGACUUUGGGAUAACUUCAGGAAACUGGGGCUAAUACCGGAUAGGAGCUCCUGCUGCAUGGUGGGGGUUGGAAAGUUUCGGCGGUUGGGGAUGGACUCGCGGCUUAUCAGCUUGUUGGUGGGGUAGUGGCUUACCAAGGCUUUGACGGGGAGCCGGCCUGGGAGGGUGACCGGCCACACUGGGACUGAGGUACGGCCCAGACUCCUCCGGGAGGCAGCAGUGGGGAAUAUUGCACAAUGGGCGGAAGCCUGAUGCAGCAACGCCGCGUGCCGGAUGACGGCCUUCGGGUUGUAAACCGCUUUCGCAUGUGACGAAGCGUGAGUGACGGUAAUGGGUAAAGAAGCACCGGCUAACUACGUG